This 375-nucleotide unclassified non-coding RNA is filed under the name soil metagenome. Its description in RNAcentral is "partial contains 5.8S ribosomal RNA, internal transcribed spacer 2, and large subunit ribosomal RNA". The stretch from base 1 to 120 matches the Rfam family "5.8S ribosomal RNA", at positions 35 to 154 of the family's 154-position model. The record is from RNAcentral.
GAUGAAGAACGCAGCGAAAUGCGAUAAGUAAUGUGAAUUGCAGAAUUCAGUGAACCAUUGAAUCUUUGAACGCACAUUGCGCCCGGCAGUAAUCUGCCGGGCAUGCCUGUCCGAGCGUCAUUUCUCCCCUCGAGCGCAGCUUUCCCCCCCGGGGGAGGGCCGCGCCCGGUGUUGGGGCGCUACGGAGGAGCCCAGCGCUCCCCCGUAGGCCCCGAAAUGUAGUGGCGGUCCCGCCGCGGCGCCCCCUGCGUAGUAGUUUUACAACUCGCAUCGGGUCCCGGCGGAGGCCAGCCGUCAAACCCCCCAACUUCAAUAGUUUGACCUCGGAUCAGGUAGGGUUACCCGCUGAACUUAAGCAUAUCAAUAAGCGGAGGA